This is a long non-coding RNA of Crotalus tigris (Tiger rattlesnake), 2302 nucleotides long. RefSeq lists it as uncharacterized. NCBI's taxonomy places the organism in Eukaryota, Metazoa, Chordata, Lepidosauria, Squamata, Viperidae. The record is from RefSeq and is a predicted model, not a curated record. The transcript is spliced from 3 exons.
UAGCAUUUCUCUUUGAUCUUCAAAGAACUAUCACUUCGGACACUCAAAGACCCGUUCUCUUAUCAAUACACGCUAUUUUGUCACAGAGUCCAACAGAGCCCCGGGAGAUCCUUCAACAGGCAGCUCCAUUUAUCAGAAUUCUCAUACAGCCAUGCAAGGAUUAAAGCAACAGAAUAACUUAAAAGACUGAAGACCUGAAAGGGAAAAGUAGAGAACACAGAACCCCAUCAAGACACACUACUUUGCAUCUGAAAUAUCUAGAAUGUUUUCUUCUUGAAACAUAAAUGAUCUAAGAUUAAUGCUUGCAUUAUAAUCUAUCAGUAGCCCAGUCUCUUCCCCUGGUCAUCAUUACUUCCCCUUGGAUGACAAAGAUACUAAAAGUCUUCGUGCAUUUAUUAUUUUACUUCCCAACUAAGCAUAAAUUUAAAUCUACUUUCAACUCCAAGUGGGAUUCCUACUUGAUAAGGAUAACAUAUACAAUCAGUAAACAAACACUCAAAAGUGUUUUCUGUACUGGAAUAACAAAUGAAACAACAUGCACAAGAAACCAAAUUCUCUUUUCUGUCUUUUGAACCAGCAAAUCAGGGGAAAGCGCGAACGCAGUCCCCCACUACCACAAAUUAUGCAGUCGAGUUUCCCGCAUUUGGGGAAAUCGCAGGGGUCAGCACACCCGGAGUGCAAUGGAUGAGCCUCACCCUGGGAAAACCACCUUCAUGAUCAUGGUGUCUCCCCUGCCAGGCCAUCAUUUGCAUGUCUAUCUGCGUCCUUUUGCAAUCGUCACUCCUCUGGCAUGUAAGCUGGCUUUCUAUUGGUGCUCCUGGAGGGCAAGGAGGGACCGUCGAGAUCUCUUGACGUGCUCCGAUUCGGCAGAGAACUUCACUUCCUCUUCUUCCCUCUGGAACAAAAUUGGUUGUACAAAUCGCAAGUUAAACAAAUGUCACUUUUGAAAUAUUUUACUUCUAUUCACUGCUCAGUGAAUUUUUUAAUCAACACAAUAUUGUGCAACACAAUCAUUUGCUUAGUUGGUUUCUUCUCCAAGAAAGAAGGAACUGUUGCUAUUAACAACUUCUGCUGGGUUUUCUAUUUUUUUAAACUGCAGACUGAGUCUGACAAAAAGUAUUUGGUGAGAAUUUAUGCACACCUUCUUAUUCUUCCUUUUUUGCUCCAGUUCUCCAAUUUCCCUAGCUGCUGAAAAAUUAUGCAAAGGUUCUUGAGGCAUGAAAUUACAGAGACUAGCUCUUUCACAAAUCUUUAGGAAAACUAGGCAGACAUUGCAGGGAAGGAACUAUCACCAUCUUAAGGUUCCAUCACUUUUCCAUGCAACUCGUGAAACACACAAUAAACAAGAAAUUAUAGAUACAACUUCUCUGUCUUUUGAACCAGCAAAUCAGGGGAAAGCGCGAACGCAGUCCCCCACUACCACAAAUUAUGCAGUCGAGUUUCCCGCAUUUGGGGAAAUCGCAGGGGUCAGCACACCCGGAGUGCAAUGGAUGAGCCUCACCCUGGGAAAACCACCUUCGUGACCAUGGUGUCUCCCCUGCCAGGUAAGUAUGAGUUGGGAGGGCCCGGCUGCCUCCCUGCCCCUCCUCGCCUCUGCCCCCAACCCCACGGUGACCGUAGCUCGGCACCUUCCAGUCCUGCAGAACAGACAUAAUCAUGAUGUAAUCAUAGAGCAGACUCUUGCUGAUUGGGAUCCAAGAAGGAAAUCCCUCUCCUGCCCCCAUUCUCCUCCUCCUCCCCAUUUGCUACCACAAUGCUGUGUUGCAGAUCAUCUGCAUAUAUCCCUACCCACUUUAGCCUUGCUUAGUCUUCUAUCUGAGUCGCCUUUCAGCAUGAACAAUGCCUCUGUCCAGGGAGGUCUUAUAAUAUCCUUUAUGUUUUAAGCGUCUGAAUGCAUUUUUUAAAGGUCUGGGUGGAAACGAUGACCUGCUUGCACAUUUCAAGGCUUUUAUAUUUUAUGUUUUGGUGAAAAUUUUCCUGCUGUAUCAAAAGCUCCAGUCCAUACUGAGGCCAGCUUGUUGUUGUUGUUGUUGUUAAUUGCGAAGUCGUGUCCGACCCAUCGCGACCCCAUGGACAACAUUCCUCCAGGUCUUCCUGUCCUCUACCAUCUUCUGGAGUCCACUGCUUGAUGUUUUCACUGCACCCCCGAUUGACCCUCUCCUCUGAAACCUUUGGAGGCCAGACAAGAUCUCAGCGCUGUUUCUCAACUUUGGACAUUUUAAAUUGCACGAACUUUAACUCCCAGAGUUUAAGGCUGAUAAACACUGAGUGUCCAAAUUAUUAAAUUCAUAUGGUCAUUUUA